Molecule: ribosomal RNA, 679 nt
Filed under: Aerococcus viridans
Lineage: Bacteria; Bacillati; Bacillota; Bacilli; Lactobacillales; Aerococcaceae
Description: bacterial SSU rRNA
Rfam family: Bacterial small subunit ribosomal RNA
Source: RNAcentral
UCAGUGUUUGGUACCUUGUUCAGGACGAACGCUGGCGGCAUGCCUAAUACAUGCAAGUCGAGCGAACAGAUGAAGUGCUUGCACUUCUGACGUUAGCGGCGAACGGGUGAGUAACACGUAAGGAAUCUACCUAUAAGCGGGGGAUAACAUUCGGAAACGGGUGCUAAUACCGCAUAAUAUCUUCUUCCGCAUGGAAGAAGAUUGAAAGACGGCUCUGCUGUCACUUAUAGAUGACCUUGCGGUGCAUUAGUUAGUUGGUGGGGUAACGGCCUACCAAGACGAUGAUGCAUAGCCGACCUGAGAGGGUGAUCGGCCACAUUGGGACUGAGACACGGCCCAAACUCCUACGGGAGGCAGCAGUAGGGAAUCUUCCGCAAUGGGCGAAAGCCUGACGGAGCAAUGCCGCGUGAGUGAAGAAGGCCUUCGGGUCGUAAAACUCUGUUAUAAGAGAAGAACAAAUUGUAGAGUAACUGCUACAGUCUUGACGGUAUCUUAUCAGAAAGCCACGGCUAACUACGUGCCAGCAGCCGCGGUAAUACGUAGGUGGCAAGCGUUGUCCGGAUUUAUUGGGCGUAAAGGGAGCGCAGGUGGUUUCUUAAGUCUGAUGUGAAAGCCCACGGCUUAACCGUGGAGGGUCAUUGGAAACUGGGAAACUGAGUACAGAAGAGAAUGACUACUU